RNAcentral lists this ribosomal RNA (374 nucleotides) under uncultured eukaryote. Its description in RNAcentral is "partial 18S ribosomal RNA". It matches the Rfam family "Eukaryotic small subunit ribosomal RNA", at positions 592 to 975 of the family's 1831-position model. The record is from RNAcentral.
CAAUAGCGUAUAUUUAAGUUGUUGCAGUUAAAAAGCUCGUAGUUGGAUUUCGGUUAAGAGCGACCGGUCCGCCGUUUGGUGUGCACUGGUUGGUUUUAACUUCCUGUAGAGGACGUGCUCUGGGUUUAACGACCUGGACUCGGAGUCUACGUGGUUACUUUGAAAAAAUUAGAGUGUUCAAAGCGGGCUUACGCUUGAAUAUUUCAGCAUGGAAUAACACUAUAGGACUCCUGUCCUAUUUCGUUGGUCUCGGGACGGGAGUAAUGAUUAAGAGGAACAGUUGGGGGCAUUCGUAUUUCAUUGUCGGAGGUGAAAUUCUUGGAUUUAUGAAAGACGAACUUCUGCGAAAGCAUUUGCCAAGGAUGUUUUCAUUA